CAGAGAUGGCUGUUCCCUUGUGGUUGGUGUGCAGGUGGUGCAUGGCUGUCGUCAGCUCGUGUCGUGAGAUGUUGGGUUAAGUCCCGCAACGAGCGCAACCCUCGUUCCAUGUUGCCAGCGGGUUAUGCCGGGGACUCAUGGGAGACUGCCGGGGUCAACUCGGAGGAAGGUGGGGAUGACGUCAAGUCAUCAUGCCCCUUAUGUCCAGGGCUUCACACAUGCUACAAUGGCCGGUACAGAGGGCUGCGAGACCGCAAGGUGGAGCGAAUCCCUUAAAGCCGGUCUCAGUUCGGAUUGGGGUCUGCAACUCGACCCCAUGAAGUUGGAGUCGCUAGUAAUCGCAGAUCAGCAACGCUGCGGUGAAUACGUUCCCGGG
Molecule: ribosomal RNA, 376 nt
Filed under: uncultured bacterium
Lineage: Bacteria
Description: bacterial SSU rRNA
Rfam family: Bacterial small subunit ribosomal RNA
Source: RNAcentral